AUUGAACGCUGGCGGCAUGCCUUACACAUGCAAGUCGAACGGUAACGCGGGGGCAACCCUGGCGACGAGUGGCGAACGGGUGAGUAAUACAUCGGAACGUACCCAGUAGUGGGGGAUAGCUCGGCGAAAGCCGGAUUAAUACCGCAUACGACCUACGGGUGAAAGCGGGGGAUCGAAAGACCUCGCGCUAUUGGAGCGGCCGAUGUCGGAUUAGCUUGUUGGUGAGGUAAAAGCUCACCAAGGCGACGAUCCGUAGCUGGUCUGAGAGGACGACCAGCCACACUGGGACUGAGACACGGCCCAGACUCCUACGGGAGGCAGCAGUGGGGAAUUUUGGACAAUGGGCGAAAGCCUGAUCCAGCCAUGCCGCGUGUGUGAAGAAGGCCUCGGUUGUAAGUAC
RNAcentral lists this ribosomal RNA (400 nucleotides) under uncultured bacterium. RNAcentral describes it as "bacterial SSU rRNA". It matches the Rfam family "Bacterial small subunit ribosomal RNA", at positions 29 to 433 of the family's 1533-position model. The record is from RNAcentral.